This is an RNA transcript of Drosophila montana, 1375 nucleotides long. It is a transcript of the gene named organic anion transporter 3-like, with no coding region annotated. NCBI's taxonomy places the organism in Eukaryota, Metazoa, Arthropoda, Insecta, Diptera, Drosophilidae. The record is from RefSeq and is a predicted model, not a curated record. The transcript has 4 exons.
CUUUACAAGCAUUAUACACACACUGACAGUUACCUGAAAAAUCUGUCAAACCUAACUUAUUAAAUUUGUUUUUUCAUGAAAUAGUGCAGCGGUACAUUAAGAGCACUGGCUAACUAGAAGCGAGUUUUUGGAAGGUUCUAUUCUGGACAGAGGUAUAUGGUGAAUUGAAUGUAACACGAGCUUGAAUUAUAUGUAAAUAACACAAUGUUGGAAGUGGACAAAAUUUUGGAAAAAUGCGGCAAUUUCAAUCGGCAGCAGCUAAUCAUGCUGCUGUUCUCUGAUCAGUUUACUAUCGGCCAUGCAUAACAUAUCCUACUCGCUUAUUAAUACUGUGCCAAAGCAUUGGUGUGCUGAUGGGCUAGGCUCGGGGCCACCACCACCAAAUGUAGACGAAUGCAAGCCAUUCUACACUAAUUCAAGCAACUCUGGCACCUGCAAAAAGUACAACUAUGAGUCAUACAUGGGCUACCAGAGUUUUGUCAGUAAAAUGAACUGGGUAUGUGAUGAAAAGUCGAAGCUGGAAAUGGGAAACUACAUUGCACUUGCGGGCUACGCGAUAGGAGGCCCAAUUAUGGGCUAUUUGGCAGAUAGACUGGGUCGGGUGCCCAUUCUUGUUUUUGCCAAUGUCAUUACGAUAUUGGGUAACUUUUUGACUAUCUUUGGCAUGAAUUUCGAACUUUUCUGUAUAUUUCGAUUUCUUAUUGGUUUCGUCGUUAACAGCAACUUUUCGAUUAUUCGCAUUCUUAUUGUGGAAUAUAUGCGUCCUUCUUUGCGCACCGUUUGCCUGAACAUCUGUUACGGUUUCUUUAUCUAUUUGGGCAUGGUAAUUACACCUUGAAUUGCGAUCCUCAUGGGUAGUUGGCGUCGUUUCAUGCUUCUCGAAAUAUUGCCAAUAAUUGUGGUGCCAUUUUUCAUUUAUUUUGUGCCGGAGAGCGUACAAUGGCUGAUCUCAAGGCAGAAAUAUGACCAGGCUAUAGAGUCCCUGAGACGUGUGGCCAAGAUUAAUGGCCGCCAAAUUGAUGACAGCGAUUUUGAGGAAUUCAUUGAGGACUGCAAAUUAAGUCAGCAAAAUACGAAGACCAACCCAAAUCGGCUGCACAUCUUCAGAACGCCGCGCCUACGCCGCACCUUUCUAAUAAUUUGUUUGAAUUCUUGGUAUUUUCCUGCUACGACUUUGUCAUCACUUAUCAUGUGAAUGGCCUUGGGAUCUCGCCAUUUGUAACGACCUCACUGUCUUCAACUUCUAUUCUGCCUGCUUGCUUGGCAGCAAUUAUCCUGCAAGAUCGCAUCGGACGCAAGGCGUUGGCUUUUAAAAUAUUGCUCGUCAUGUUUAUUUCCACCUUGGUAACGGGCGUCGUCCUCUCACCCGCUGCUA